Molecule: transfer RNA, 72 nt
Filed under: Loxodonta africana (African savanna elephant)
Lineage: Eukaryota; Metazoa; Chordata; Mammalia; Proboscidea; Elephantidae
Rfam family: tRNA
About the family: Transfer RNA (tRNA) molecules are approximately 80 nucleotides in length.
Source: Rfam by way of RNAcentral
ACAUUGGUGGCUCAGUGGUAGAUUACUCGCUUUCCGCGUGUGAGACCUGGGUUUGAUUUCCCAGCCAGCGCA